GAUGAAGAACGCAGUGAAAUGCGAUAAGUAAUGUGAAUUGCAGAAUUCAGUGAAUCAUCGAAUCUUUGAACGCACAUUGCGCCCCUUGGUAUUCCGGGAGGCAUGCCUGUUCGAGCGUCAUUUCAACCCUCAAGCUCAGCUUGGUAUUGAGUCCAUGUCAGUAAUGGCAGGCUCUAAAAUCAGUGGCGGCGCCGCUGGGUCCUGAACGUAGUAAUAUCUCUCGUUACAGGUUCUCGGUGUGCUUCUGCCAAAACCCAAAUUUUCUAUGGUUGACCUCGGAUCAGGUAGGGAUACCCGCUGAACUUAAGCAUAUCAAUAAGCGGAGGA
Molecule: unclassified non-coding RNA, 327 nt
Filed under: soil metagenome
Description: partial contains 5.8S ribosomal RNA, internal transcribed spacer 2, and large subunit ribosomal RNA
Rfam family: 5.8S ribosomal RNA (bases 1-120)
Source: RNAcentral